CCUUGUGGCACAGCUGAAUGCU
RNAcentral lists this small nuclear RNA (22 nucleotides) under Arabidopsis thaliana (thale cress). Its description in RNAcentral is "snRNA_06295". Lineage: Eukaryota; Viridiplantae; Streptophyta; Magnoliopsida; Brassicales; Brassicaceae. The record is from RNAcentral.